GAUCCGUUAUCCUCGCAAGAAUUUGCCCGGUAGCGUAUAAGCAAAACACAAAUCUAUCCAUGCAAGCAUUUACCGCUGGUGAACCGGCGGUUUUUUUUU
This 99-nucleotide small RNA is filed under the name Salmonella enterica subsp. enterica serovar Typhimurium str. SL1344. Its description in RNAcentral is "STnc560". It matches the Rfam family "STnc560 Hfq binding RNA", at positions 35 to 133 of the family's 214-position model. The record is from RNAcentral. RNAcentral also lists the same sequence under 1 other name. Lineage: Bacteria; Pseudomonadati; Pseudomonadota; Gammaproteobacteria; Enterobacterales; Enterobacteriaceae.